This 253-nucleotide ribosomal RNA is filed under the name uncultured bacterium. Its description in RNAcentral is "partial 16S ribosomal RNA". It matches the Rfam family "Bacterial small subunit ribosomal RNA", at positions 524 to 776 of the family's 1533-position model. The record is from RNAcentral.
UACGUAGAGUGCAAGCGUUAAUCGGAAUUACUGGGCGUAAAGCGUGCGCAGGCGGUGAUGUAAGACAGUUGUGAAAUCCCCGGGCUCAACCUGGGAACUGCAUCUGUGACUGCAUCGCUGGAGUGCGGCAGAGGGGGAUGGAAUUCCGCGUGUAGCAGUGAAAUGCGUAGAUAUGCGGAGGAACACCGAUGGCGAAGGCAAUCCCCUGGGCCUGCACUGACGCUCAUGCACGAAAGCGUGGGGAGCAAACAGG